GACGAACGCUGGCGGCGUGCCUAAUACAUGCAAGUGGGACGCAAGGAAACACACUGUGCUUGCACACCGUGUUUUCUUGAGUCGCGAACGGGUGAGUAACGCGUAGGUAACCUGCCUAUUAGCGGGGGAUAACUAUUGGAAACGAUAGCUAAUACCGCAUAAUAUUAAUUAUUGCAUGAUAAUUGAUUGAAAGAUGCAAGCGCAUCACUAGUAGAUGGACCUGCGUUGUAUUAGCUAGUUGGUAAGGUAAGAGCUUACCAAGGCGACGAUACAUAGCCGACCGGAGAGGGUGAUCGGCCACACUGGGACUGAGACACGGCCCAGACUCCUACGGGAGGCAGCAGUAGGGAAUCUUCGGCAAUGGACGAAAGUCUGACCGAGCAACGCCGCGUGAGUGAAGAAGGGUUUCGGAUCGUAAAGCUCUGUUGUAAGUCAAGAACGUGUGUGAGAGUGGAAAGUUCACACAGUGACGGUAGCUUACCAGAAAGGGACGGCUAACUACGUG
This 505-nucleotide ribosomal RNA is filed under the name uncultured bacterium. RNAcentral's name for it is "partial 16S ribosomal RNA". It matches the Rfam family "Bacterial small subunit ribosomal RNA", at positions 28 to 507 of the family's 1533-position model. The record is from RNAcentral.